GACGAACGCUGGCGGCGUGCUUAACACAUGCAAGUCGAACGGAAAGGCCCUGCUUUUGUGGGGUGCUCGAGUGGUGAACGGGUGAGUAACACGUGAGUAACCUGCCCUUGACUUUGGGAUAACUUCAGGAAACUGGGGCUAAUACCGGAUAGGAGCUCCUGCUGCAUGGUGGGGGUUGGAAAGUUUCGGCGGUUGGGGAUGGACUCGCGGCUUAUCAGCUUGUUGGUGGGGUAGUGGCUUACCAAGGCUUUGACGGGUAGCCGGCCUGAGAGGGUGACCGGCCACAUUGGGACUGAGAUACGGCCCAGACUCCUACGGGAGGCAGCAGUGGGGAGUAUUGCACAAUGGGCGGAAGCCUGAUGCAGCAACGCCGCGUGCGGGAUGACGGCCUUCGGGUUGUAAACCGCUUUCGCCUGUGACGAAGCGUGAGUGACGGUAAUGGGUAAAGAAGCACCGGCUAACUACGUG
RNAcentral lists this ribosomal RNA (468 nucleotides) under uncultured bacterium. RNAcentral's name for it is "partial 16S ribosomal RNA". It matches the Rfam family "Bacterial small subunit ribosomal RNA", at positions 28 to 507 of the family's 1533-position model. The record is from RNAcentral.